CCAAAGACCAACACUCCACAAGAACUGAAUGAGUGCUGAUACCCAGGCACAACCUGCAGGCACCUUCUCCAGGUCUGCCGCCCCACCUGGGUGGUGCACUAGGAAGGAAGAGGAGAUAUUGGAGCCCAAAUGACCAGCAGGCAGAGGGACUGCACCAGCAGGAAGACCAUCCUCCCCUCCCCAUCACCCCCUCCUUGCUCACGUGCUCCCCUGUCCCCCAAGUGACCAGAAGGGGGAGGGAGUAAAGGGGAUGUUUCCAUGGGACAAUAUUUAAAUUCAGCUCUUCUCUGAAUGUUUUUAGUUACAAAAGUAACAUAUACUCAUCAGAGCACCCCAGGCAGUGCCUGUAACCUCAGUCCGAAGUAGGCAACGCCGUCUGCUGGGUGUGUGUACCUCACACCACUCUCUGUGCUCAUGCAAAUCAUGUGUUUUAAGCAUGAGCCUUCAACUCAAUUCUCAUCUCCCCUGAGACGCUCGCUGCCUUUCAGAUGCUUGGAGCUUCUUCCAUGCCCCUCAGCUGAUGUAAGAGUAAUGCUGCCGACACCUGUGGGGGCAUCAGCCUACUCUCCAUGAAAUCUCAUGCAGGACGCCCCAGAAGAGAGCAGGUGCGAGGGUGCAGUACUCAGUGCAGCUGACUUUGGAUUCUGUGGGUGCUGCCACAGGACAGGAACCAGGACAUGUAUGCUGGGUUUUAUGCCAAUUCCAUAAAACAUGACCCAGGCUUGGGGGAGCCACAUUCAGGGAGAGACCCCAUGCUGAGUAUCAACUCCCAUCCCACACAUCCCUCCACUCCUGUGUCCACAACUGCAACAAGAUCAGAACCACCACUCAGCUCUAAAGGAUCAGAAGCCAGGGUGGAUCUCGCUCCUUCACUGUGCUCUCAGCCUGCACGUGAGCUGCUCUGAAGGGGUGAACACACCUGGGGUGGCUCUCAACCCGUGGGGGCCAGGAGUCAGCAGUAAAUGUUCCUGCGUCCCAUCCUUGGGUGGACGGUUCAGG
Molecule: long non-coding RNA, 999 nt
Filed under: Equus asinus (donkey)
Lineage: Eukaryota; Metazoa; Chordata; Mammalia; Perissodactyla; Equidae
Description: lncRNA (ENSEASG00005029133.1)
Source: RNAcentral